Small nuclear RNA from Phragmites australis (common reed), 119 nucleotides. RefSeq annotates it as U5 spliceosomal RNA. The transcript has a single exon. The record is from RefSeq and is a predicted model, not a curated record. NCBI's taxonomy places the organism in Eukaryota, Viridiplantae, Streptophyta, Magnoliopsida, Poales, Poaceae.
AGCUGCGUGGUGAACAUAGAGCGAACUAUUCUUUCGUCUUUUACUAAAGAAAUACAGUGUCCUUGUCACAUCAAGCAGCGUACUCCUGUUUUUGGAGGAGUCUUAUCUAAAAGAGAGGU